This 568-nucleotide long non-coding RNA is filed under the name Elaeis guineensis (African oil palm). Its description in RNAcentral is "long non-coding RNA (EGUI_LNC003802)". Lineage: Eukaryota; Viridiplantae; Streptophyta; Magnoliopsida; Arecales; Arecaceae. The record is from RNAcentral.
CCUGCAAUUCUUUUUUCAUGUUCAUCCCGAGCUUCUAAAGCUCCUCUAUGUCCUUGAUCAUUGUCAAAUAAUGAUCAUUAAUGGAUUGUUCAUCAUGCAUCUUCACUUUGAAAAGUCUCCGAGAGACCUCAAAAUGAGCUGUGUGACUCUGCUCACCAUAUAACUCUUAUAGAUAAGUCAGCAUCUCUCUGACAGUCUUUAUGUCUUCAUGCUGUCACUGAAGAUCAUUGGACAUAGACACUAAUAUGUAGUACUUUGCCUUGUUAUCUUCAUCCAUCCAUUUUUCAAGUGCAGCUCGUUGAUCAGGGAAUGGACGAACAGGUAACACAGAUGCUUCCUGAUCAAGGACAUGGGUGAGUUUCUCAGAGCUGAGAAUGAUUCUCAGAUUCUGGAGUCAGUCUUUGUAAUUGAUACCGGUCAAUCUAUUGGUGUCUAGGAUAUGGGCUAAAGGGUCGGAACUCGACAUGGUUAUCUGUAAAGAGAAUAGUUUCUAGUUAGAUAUUUGUACUUAUAAGAUUGUUUAUUUUAAAGACUUUAAAAAUAAACAAAGGCUUUCACUAUUUCCUCG